This 2460-nucleotide ribosomal RNA is filed under the name Corynebacterium diphtheriae bv. mitis. Its description in RNAcentral is "partial 23S ribosomal RNA". It matches the Rfam family "Bacterial large subunit ribosomal RNA", at positions 585 to 2925 of the family's 2925-position model. Lineage: Bacteria; Bacillati; Actinomycetota; Actinomycetes; Mycobacteriales; Corynebacteriaceae. The record is from RNAcentral.
UUUGUUAGGUGAUGGCGUGCCUUUUGAAGAAUGAGCCUGCGAGUCAGCGGCAUGUCGCGAGGUUAACCCGUGUGGGGUAGUCGUAGCGAAAGCGAAUCCUAAUGAGGGUGUUUGUUAGUGGCAUGUCCUGGACCCGAAGCGGGGUGAUCUACCCAUGGCCAGUGUGAAGCAGCUGUAAGAGGUUGUGGAGGCGCGAACCCACUUAGGUUGAAAACUGAGGGGAUGAGCUGUGGGUAGGGGUGAAAGGCCAAUCAAACUCCGUGAUAGCUGGUUCUCCCCGAAAUGCAUUUAGGUGCAGCGUUGUGUGUUUCUUGCUGGAGGUAGAGCUACUGGUUGGUUGAGCGGGACUACAAUCUUAGCAAUGUCAGCCAAACUCCGAAUGCCGGUAAUGUUAAGCAUGGCAGUGAGACUGCGGGGGAUAAGCUCCGUUGGUCGAGAGGGAAACAGCCCAGAUCGCCGGUUAAGGCCCCUAAGGGUGUACUAAGUGGAAAAGGAUGUGGGAUCGCGAAGACAGCCAGGAGGUUGGCUUAGAAGCAGCCAUCCUUGAAAGAGUGCGUAAUAGCUCACUGGUCGAGUGGUUCUGCGCCGACAAUGUAGUGGGGCUCAAGUACACCGCCGAAGCCGCGGCAGUCAACAAUGUGUUUUGUUGGUUGGGUAGGGGAGCGUCGUGCACUGCUGUGAAGCACCUGGGUGACUUGAUGGUGUGGAGUGUGUGCGAGUGAGAAUGCAGGCAUGAGUAACGAAUGAAAAGUGGAAAACUUUUCCGCCGGAUGACUAAGGGUUCCUGGGUUAAGCUAAUCUUCCCAGGGUGAGUCGGGACCUAAGGCGAGGCCGACAGGCGUAGUCGAUGGAUAACCAGUUGAUAUUCUGGUACCCGUGUAUGUGCGCCCAGUGGUGAAUCAGUGGUACUAACCAUCCAUUGAUCUGCUGGUCAUGCUUUGUGUGUGGUUGGUGGUGAUGUGCGUGGGAUCUUCGUUGGUAGUAGCCAAGUGAUGGGGUGACGCAGUGAGGUAGCUGAGCCAUUUAUUGGAUUGUGGUGUAAGCGUGUGGCCCGUGGCAUAGGUAAAUCCGUGUUACAUAGUGGGUGAGGCGUGAUGCGUAGACCUUUGUGGUUGAUGUUGGUGAUCCUGUACUGUCGAGAAAAGCCUCUAGCGAGUGCAUAUAUGGCCCGUACCCAUAACCGACACAGGUGGUCAGGUAGAGAAUACUAAGGCGAUCGGGUGAACUGUGGUUAAGGAACUCGGCAAAUUGCCCCCGUAACUUCGGGAGAAGGGGGACCAUUGCUGGUGACCGACGUGGUUGAGCUGGUGGUGGUCGCAGAGAAUAGAGGGAAGCGACUGUUUAUUAAAAACACAGGUCCGUGCGAAAACGUGGAAGUUGAUGUAUACGGACUGACGCCUGCCCGGUGCUGGAAGGUUAAGAGGACCUGUUAGGGCAUUGUUGUCCGAAGCGGAGAAUUUAAGCCCCAGUAAACGGCGGUGGUAACUAUAACCAUCCUAAGGUAGCGAAAUUCCUUGUCGGGUAAGUUCCGACCUGCACGAAUGGCGUAACGACUUCCCUGCUGUCUCAACCACAGGCCCGGUGAAAUUGCAGUACGAGUAAAGAUGCUCGUUACGCGCGGCAGGACGAAAAGACCCCGGGACCUUCACUAUAGCUUGGUAUUGGUGUUUGGUUCGGUUUGUGUAGGAUAGGUGGGAGACUGUGAAGUGGUCACGCUAGUGGUUGUGGAGUCGAAAGUUGAAAUACCACUCUGAUCGGAUUGAGCACCUUAACCUUGGCCCAUGAUCUGGGUUGGGGACAGUGCCUGGUGGGUAGUUUAACUGGGGCGGUUGCCUCCUAAAGUGUAACGGAGGCGCCCAAAGGUUCCCUCAGCCUGGUUGGCAAUCAGGUGGUGAGUGUAAGUGCACAAGGGAGCUUGACUGUGAGACUGACAGGUCGAGCAGGGACGAAAGUCGGGACUAGUGAUCCGGCACCUACUUGUGGAAGUGGUGUCGCUCAACGGAUAAAAGGUACCCCGGGGAUAACAGGCUGAUCUUCCCCAAGAGUCCAUAUCGACGGGAUGGUUUGGCACCUCGAUGUCGGCUCGUCGCAUCCUGGGGCUGGAGUAGGUCCCAAGGGUUGGGCUGUUCGCCCAUUAAAGCGGCACGCGAGCUGGGUUUAGAACGUCGUGAGACAGUUCGGUCUCUAUCCGCCGCGCGCGUUGAAACUUGAAGAAGGCUGUCCCUAGUACGAGAGGACCGGGACGGACGUACCUCUAGUGUGCCAGUUGUCACGCCAGUGGCAGGGCUGGUUGGCUACGUACGGGAGGGAUAACCGCUGAAAGCAUCUAAGCGGGAAGCCUGUUUUGAGAUGAGGUUUCUUUUGAGGUUCCCUCUAGACUAGGGGGUUGAUAGGCCAGAUCUGGAAGCGUAGUAAUGCGUUAAGGUGACUGGUACUAAUUUUACCGAGUAAUAACAGUGU